CACCAUUCUGUAUUUGGGGACUGAGAGUUAGACCAACCUAAGAUAACACUUUUAUCUCUAUUCCAUGAGAUUUAUUGGGCUUUGCUCGCCUCUAGUACUUCGGCUGCAAUGUGUGUGCGUGUCAGGGAACUAUGCAUAUGCCUGCUGGGUCAGGGGCUAUCUGAUAAGAGUGAAGGGAGACACUAGACAGGCCAUAACUUGAUAGGGUGCUCCUCCAGGCCAAACCUUUGAACCAGAGUCAUGCAUUCCUUCUUCAGGUACAUCCUCUUAUCAGAAUGUUCUUGCAGUACCAGGUUUUUAUCCUCGGUGAAUGUUCUGCAUUUCUGCUUCCUCCUUGGAUUAUUGGAAGACUCUUGUGAUUUUGGAGGAACUUGAGAUGUCAGGACCAUGGUGAUAUGGUGAUGCUGAGGUACUUGUAGAACCUUAGGUGACUGGGUUCAAUAGAAUGCUAGAGGAUCUGUUACUUUGAAGUGUAUCAGGGCCUCCAUCCUUUUUUCACCAGGUGGAAUUGACAAGCCAUGGGGAACAUGAAAUUCUGGGAUCAUAUGGGAAUUUGGUUCCAUUGUGAGAUCUUUGUAGACUAAAGACACUGGGAAUAAAAACAGAAAUAGAUCAGAGAAGCCCUAAAGAGCCUAGCUCAUUCACACAUAGCUCCCCAUUGCCUGUUGCAGG
This 672-nucleotide long non-coding RNA is filed under the name Cricetulus griseus (Chinese hamster). Its description in RNAcentral is "lncRNA (ENSCGRG00015033152.1)". Lineage: Eukaryota; Metazoa; Chordata; Mammalia; Rodentia; Cricetidae. The record is from RNAcentral.